This 177-nucleotide microRNA precursor is filed under the name Capsicum annuum. RNAcentral describes it as "MIR6027 microRNA precursor family". It matches the Rfam family "MIR6027 microRNA precursor family". The record is from Rfam by way of RNAcentral. Lineage: Eukaryota; Viridiplantae; Streptophyta; Magnoliopsida; Solanales; Solanaceae.
UCCUAAUUUUUACAUGGUUAUGGGUAGCGAAGGAUUAACGUGAAACAGGUAAGUGAUAAUACAGAAUUCAUUGAGGAGAAAAGGGUCCAAAGGGUUGAUUGUUAUGAAGAAAUGAAGAGAACAUUUAACGUUUCUCGUGAAUCCUUCGGCUAUCCAUAACCAUGUUAAAUUUUGGGA